This 438-nucleotide unclassified non-coding RNA is filed under the name Athalia rosae (coleseed sawfly). RNAcentral describes it as "misc RNA ENSAEAG00005007187.1". Lineage: Eukaryota; Metazoa; Arthropoda; Insecta; Hymenoptera; Athaliidae. The record is from RNAcentral.
GAGAGUUGGACGAUUACCAUAGGAUAGAAUACUAUUAUUCCUACUUGAAAGAAUUAUUAAUAGCCGUCAACCGCGAUGGCUGCAAAGUAGAACGUUACGCCGUAUGGAGUAUUUUAGACAACUUUGAAUGGAGCGAAGGUUACACAAAAAAAUUCGGAAUCAUUGGAGUGGACUUUGACAACCCCUCGAGGAAUAGAACGUAUAAAUUGUCCGCAAAAUGGUGGGAAAAAGUACUCCAUACUCGUACUCUUCUAGAAGUACCCAGAAGUAGUGCACCGAACAAUUACACCUGGUCUUUUAUGAUCACAGCUUGUUGCAUUAUGUCUGUUUUCAACUACUUCCACAUUUUUCGCUAAUUUACAAGCAGUAUUCUUCUGCAGUGUUUAUCGUUUAUAACAUUUUCCGCUCAAUUGUACGCACAUUAUUUUCUGAGUAAAA